GCCCAAAACAUCUAGCCACGCCACACCCAUACGGGCCUUCAGCAGUGAUUAACAUUAAAAAUAAACGUCAGUUUGAUUUAGUUAAAUUAAUAAAGAGCCGGCCAAUCUGGUGCCAGCCGCCGCGGUUACACCAUGUGGCUCAAAUUGAUUUUAAUACGGCGUAAAGCGUGAUUAAAGAACCACCUUCUGGGGUCAAAAUUAAAUUAAGCUGUCGCACGAUUAUUCUUAAGAAGCUCUAACUCGAAAGAUACCCCAACCUACCAACUUGAAUUCACUACAGUUAGGACACAAACUGGGAUUAGAUACCCCACUAUGCCUAAUCGCAAACUUUAACUUACACCACCUCGCCGGGGAACUACGAGCAAAGCUUAAAACCCAAAGGACUUGACGGUGCCCCACAUCCUUCUAGAGGAGCCUGUCCUAUAAUCGAUAACCCCCGUUUUACCUCACCACUAUAAGCCUAUCAGCCUGUAUACUUCCGUCGUCAGCUUACCGCGUGAGCGAAAAGUAAACCCAAUGGCUCCCACCAAUACGUCAGGUCAAAGUGCAGCAAAUAUAGUGGCAAGAGAUGGGCUACACUCUCUAUUCUAGAGCAUACGAAAGAUUAUGUGAAAUCAUAUUCAAAAGGCGGAUUUAGCAGUAAGAGAGGGUUAGAGCACCUCUCUAAACUUGGCACUGGGGGUGUGUACACACCGCCCGUCACCCUCUU
Molecule: ribosomal RNA, 709 nt
Filed under: Pristimantis yukpa
Lineage: Eukaryota; Metazoa; Chordata; Amphibia; Anura; Strabomantidae
Description: partial small subunit ribosomal RNA
Rfam family: Bacterial small subunit ribosomal RNA
Source: RNAcentral